GACGAACGCUGGCGGCGUGCUUAACACAUGCGAGUCGAACGGAAAGGCCUCUUUCGGGGGGUACUCGAGUGGCGAACGGGUGAGUAACACGUGAGUAACCUGCCCUUGACUUUGGGAUAACUUCAGGAAACUGGGGCUAAUACCGGAUAGGAGCUCCUGCUGCAUGGUGGGGGUUGGAAAGUUUCGGCGGUUGGGGAUGGACUCGCGGCUUAUCAGCUUGUUGGUGGGGUAGUGGCUUACCAAGGCUUUGACGGGUAGCCGGCCUGGGAGGGUGACCGGCCACAUUGGGACUGAGAUACGGCCCAGACUCCUACGGGAGGCAGCAGUGGGGAAUAUUGCACAAUGGGUGGAAGCCUGAUGCAGCAACGCCGUGUGCGGGAUGACGGCCUUCGGGUUGGAAACCGCUUUCGCUCAUGACGAAGCUUUGUGUGACGGUAGUGGGUAAAGAAGCACCGGCUAACUACGUG
RNAcentral lists this ribosomal RNA (467 nucleotides) under uncultured bacterium. Its description in RNAcentral is "partial 16S ribosomal RNA". It matches the Rfam family "Bacterial small subunit ribosomal RNA", at positions 28 to 507 of the family's 1533-position model. The record is from RNAcentral.